This is a long non-coding RNA of Felis catus (domestic cat), 9053 nucleotides long. RefSeq lists it as uncharacterized. The transcript is spliced from 2 exons. NCBI's taxonomy places the organism in Eukaryota, Metazoa, Chordata, Mammalia, Carnivora, Felidae. The record is from RefSeq and is a predicted model, not a curated record.
AAUACAUAAACUUAAAAAAAAUUAAAAAUGAAAUGUUUUGUUCUUAUGUUAUUUUUAGAACAGUCUGUUAAUAAAAAUGUUAAAAUAUGAACAGAAAUAAUACUUACCUAAAGGAAAUUACUGGAGACGGUAGAGCAUAACAGUUGGAAGCGUGAGCCCUAGAUGUAGGGAAACUUCGAUUUCACCUCCCACUCGACAUAGUAUAUGCUAUUAAAUUGUGAUGGUUCCUUAGCUACAUUAAUGCUCGUUUUCCAAAUGUGAAAAACGGGAAUAAUAAGUUUCUGCUGGAGGGAGAAGUUGUAGGAAUAAUUGAAUAAUGUAAUAGACAUGGGCGACUAUUUUUUCAUCUUUCUUCAUCAUCAAUCAUCUCUGAACCAGGUAACCACAAAUUUGCCACCAGGUUAUGUUCCAAAAAUUCACAUGUGAGUUGUUUGAAAGUUGAAACAUCCUUUUCCCCCGUGGAAUAACAUAAUAAAUAUAGGUUAGAGCUAAUUGAAAGAAUCCUAUCAGCUCAUUAGUGAUACUCUAUAAAUUUGUUAUGGGUUAAAUAGGCUCCCUGGAAAAACCAGAGCUAGACUAUUUGAAACAAUUAUAAUAAAGGAUGCUACUAAUCCUCUUGGAUAAAACAGAAGUCAGCAAACUUUCUCUGUUAAAGGCCAGAUAGUAAAUAUUUUAGGCUUUGGGGGCCAUAUGGUCUCUGUCACAACUCCUCAGAUCUACUGUUAAGAGUUCCAAAGCAGCCACAGAUUAUAUACAAAUGAAUGAUUGUGGCUCUGUUCCAAUAAAACUUUAUGGACACUGAAAUUUGACUUUUAUAUAAUUUUUAGGUGUUACAAAUAUUCUUCUUCUUUUUAUUUUAUUUUUUCAAUAAUUUCAAAAUGUGAAAAGCAUUGCUCACAGGCUAUGUCUGACCAGAAACAUGAUGUUGUCUUUUCUGAACUUUUUCCCUAAAAUAUUGUACUUCGCUCACCUUUGUCAGCAUUUCAUCUCUCAGGGAUCUGAAAGGUUCUAAAAUUUGAAAAUUGAUUAUUUAUUAAAAACAAAGGUCAAAGACCCAUGGUCUAGGACAGAGUGUUGAUAAUUUGGAAUUUGAUUCAGAAGUCUGGGUACAAGACCACAAUUAUAACUUAGUAGUGAUCUGCUUUGGUGCAAGCCAGUUAAACUCCACAAGCCCAGACUUCUGGUGUUGAAAGUGGGGAAUAUCUCAUCCCUCACAGGGUUGCUAUAAGGAACAAAUGGGACACUGUUUACCAUGAUCACUAAUUAAGGGGCACUGUAGAAUGGGAGACAUGAAUACCUCACUCUAUGAUGGUUUCCAGUAUCUGUGCUGUAGGUCCCUGUGUCCAUUUGCUAGGACUCCCAGAACAAAAUACGACAGACUGGGUGGCUUCAACAAUAGAAAUUUACUCUCUUACAGUUAUGGCAACCAGAGGUUCAAAAUCAGGCUGUGGCAGUUUAGUUUUUCCUGAAAGCUGAGUCUCCUUGGCUUACAGACACCGCCUUCUCACUAUGUCCUCACAUGGCCUUUCCUCUGUGCUGGCAUCCCUGGCAUUUCUUCCUCCUCUUAUGAGGGCACCAGCUCAAUCGGAUAAGAGCCCCACCCGUGUGAUCUCAUUUAACCUUAGUUAUCUCCAAAUACAGUCACAAUGGAGAUUAGGGCGUCAGCAUAUGAAUUUUGGGGAGACACAGCUCUGUAACAGUCAAUGACAGUCCUGUAGUAAUGACUAAAUCGUCCAGAAACCAACAUAGGUAACUAAGCUAAAUCCCCGUAGGUAAAAGACACAAUAUAGAGGAGUAGACAAUGUGACCGACCAUAAGGAUGCAUUUUAAUAGUUCCCUUAAUCUCAAAAUUCAACAUCUGGGUUAUUUCAAUCUAAGAUAAAUCUAAAUAGAAUUAUAUUGCAUUAAAUUUUUGUUAUACUAUUUUUUUGCAUUUACUAUAGGAAAAUAUAAUGCCAAGGAGUAAAAUUAAUUUCCUUUAUAGAGAUUGAUUUUUGACCUGAGUAAGGUUAAAACAGUGAAAGCUUUUAACUCUAGGAAUAAUGAGUAUUGCUUCAGGACUUCUGGCUGUUGAUGUGGGAAACUUUUGCCAAGGUAUCCAAUAUAGUUUUCCCUAAUGCUCUUUACUUCUUUUUACUUUUCUUCGCUGAAGAUCAGAAUAUUUCCUAAAUGUUUGUUUUCUAUCUAUCAUGUAGACCUUUUUGUUUGCCUUUAGUUAAAAAGUCAUAUGUCAAAUAUCAUUCAUGGUAUUGCUUUAGGUGGAGUAAAACAAAUUGCUUUGGAAAUCAACAACCUUGAGGGAAUUUACACAGGACUAUUUUGAUAUUCAACAAAAAUUUCUGUUUUUUAAAUUUUUAAUUUUUUGUUAUUUUAUUCCUACACACGUGAGCAGGGGAGGUACAGGGGAGAAAGGCAGAGAGAGAAUCUUAAGCUGGCUUCAAGCCCAGGGCCAAGAAAUCACCACCUUGAGAUCUUGACCUGAACCAAAGUCAAGAGUCAGAUGUUUAACUGACUGAGCCACCCAAGCUCCCCUCAACAAAAAUUUUUAAAUCCUGAUUAUUCUCCACCACUACUUUUGUGAAUUAGUCUUCAUAUAUUUCAGGAUGGUUUUGUUUUUCAUAAACAGAUGCAUCUAAUGUUAGUUUAAUCCAUAUGUAUUUGGUUUUUAGAAAAAGCAUAGUGAAAGAUAAUGUAGACUUAAAAAUGUAGAAGUCCUACCCAAAGCAUAGACUGACAGGUGUUUAAUGGACACACAUUUAUAAUACAAGUCCCUGUUGACAACCAUUACUUGAAGAGUCAGUUAGAUAGUUAAUUUCUAAAUUCUCUUAAGCCAAAAAGUGGCAGUUGAGUUAAUUUUGUCAAUAACGUGUAGAUUCAUGUUAUGGGAUGUAGUUUGCUAAGAACUUAGUGGAGGCCAUAGAAGUAAUUUUAAUUGAGAUUUUUACAACCAUUUGAUAACAGUGUUUUGAUCACUGUAGUUAGGGCAGGAUUCCAACAGUGGCCAUAAAAUCUGUGACUAAUCCACUGAGUCACCCAGUCCCUGUCAUAUAUUGUUUAAUGGCCCAUGCUGCCAGGAAUUAUUAUCGCUUUCUAGUGGUAAUUUUUAAAGAGAGAAACUUUGUGGACACAAAAGAUGAAUAUAAGAUGAAAACUUAUGUUUGUAAAGGCAGUUAAUAAAACAUCUCUUCACUAAGGAUAUGAUAGAGUUUACUCGUUUAUAAUGACUGUUCAGAUUCUUAAAUUAUAUACAUGAAUAUAAAUAUAUAUUUGUGUAUAUGUGUAUAUAUGAUAGCGAUGAAUAUUCUAACUUUCCUUGGUUAAUGUUUGCAGGGCACUUACAGAUGCUAGAAUAAUCUCUAAUGUUUUUGCUCAAUCUGCUCUGGAGAUGGAUGAAAUAAAUAGUUUAAACUAAUUAAUGUAACACCAGCUGUUACAAGUGCUUGGCAGACGUCUGUGCGUUUUGAUGGGCAGGGAGCGGCUGUUGUACUUGACUUUAUUUUAGUACAAUGUUGAUCACAGUGUAAGCUGGAAUAAAUGACAAGCCAAAAGAAGAAACAGAGGAUGAAUUUCAUGUAAUGCGAAAUAAAAACCAUCUUCUUCUCUAAAAAUAUAUAAUUUUUAAAGCUGAGGGAUGGAUAGAGCGAUUGUUGUGCAGGGAUUCAUCAAGUCAUAAGAAAGGUUCUAACCCUUGAUGGCUGCUACGUUAAACAUGCCCAAUAAUUCCAUGCUGCAGAUAAAAGCUGCUAAGGUAUAGGUACGUGAUCUUGGACACUGUCCUUGGUUUUUCCAAAGGACCUAUUAGAGUUGCAGGUAUGCAGUGUCAGCUAGAUGUUUCGAGACCCUCUUUCUGCUAAUUAAAUGCCUUUAGAAAAAAAAAUAAGAGAGGUUGUAGUCAUCUGGAAUGGGUUGGGAAAUUAUUGUAAUUAUAUUAUUUUAGCAAGUGGAAAGGAGGUAUUGAGUUUUAUUGCUUGGUGAUUAUGAAUGUUAUUAUUUUUAAGUUUCUGUGGGGUACAGGGGCAUACUUCUUAUAUAUCUGAUUCCUGCAUGAAUGAAUGAAUGAAGAAGAAGAAGAAGAAGAAGAAGAAGAAGAAGAAGAAGAAGAAGAAGAAGAAUUAUUUUCAGCUCACAAACCCUAAACAGGGAUCAUCCAUUGAAAUGACCUCCUUAUGAGGAGAGUUUCAUUUGUGAUCCUACAAUGGAGAAAAAUGUUUCUGCCCAUAUGCUUGUAGUUUCCAUAUACUUAAAGUUUCCAUAGCGUCCUAAUUUCUGUUUUAAAGUUGGAGGGCAGAAUCCCUGUGCUCUGACAGAGAAACAGUGGUUGUUAUCUCAGUAUGUGCCAGCAUUAAGAUAACAGUGUCAUUGUACAGAUUGUUACCCUGUGAAUUUGUCUAAUAAGUUAUUACAACGUGUGCUGAGCAGAUGGCAAGUGUGCUCCUGAAAGAACUGAUGGAUGGGAUAUGAUGUCAUCAAUGAGAUGACAAGGUUCACAAGGUACUUGACCUCCAAGAAUAAGUCCUAACUGGUUAGAAUUCUAAAUGGUGAACUUUGGUGACACGAGCUAAAUGGGAAAUAUGUGCAAUUUGUAUUUCUUUAUGGUGGUGUUUACCCCCUUCACUGAACUCCACAUAAUGGGAUUUUGUCCCUGAAGACCCAGAGAUAUUGUUGGAGGGUUGCACCCUGUAACCUUCUGAGGAUUUCAAAUACAAAUCCACACAUCUAAACUUUAACAAAAUCACAGUGAAUGUUAUUUAUGAAGUCAGGUUCAGAGCUUUCCCUCUUUUAUAUGUAUAUAUGCAGAAAGAACUUAGUUAAGACAUCCCAUUAAUUUUAACAUGUUAUCACAAAAUAGCAAAGUGCUGACUCCGUGAAAAUAUUCAGUGCAUAAAAUUAAACUUUUAUAUUUUCAUUAAAAUAUAUUUCUAUAUAUACAAGCCUAAAAUAAGCUGUCAGAGAUCCUGAUGUUGUCUUUAUAUUUUAAUUAUGACUUUACUUGCACUUACAGGUGACAAACCUAAACACAUUAACAUUUUUAUUUCAAUAUUAUCAUUUUAAAAUUUCAAAUGACUCCAGAAUCUGUUUUGUAUCACCUAUCUGAUAUGAUCUCAGCAAAUCUAUUCUGAACAGAGAUCAGAACAAGUAUGAUUACAGAUACAGGGGCUCAGAGGAAACAUGGACAGAACAUGAUAAUAGGCUAUAUGCAUUGUGUGAAAUCAAAUAAAAAAAAAAACACCCAACUAUUUAGAACUGUUUUGUGGAGAGAAGGUUGACUGAUUAAAAGACAUGUCCAAGAAGAAGACAUUUAAAUGUAUGAAAGAAAGGACCAAGCAACAAAGCAUGAACUCCCUCUUUUGAACAUUCUCACAUCAGAUUUUAUGCAUUAAGCUGACAAGAAUUCUAAGGUCUAACAAAAAUAAAUUGCCAUAAGUACGGUGGGAUGCAUUGUUGUUUUUGUUCAUUUCGAAUAACCGAGCUCAGGUUAUUAAUAAUGAAGAUGUUUUGAAAAAUGAGGCCAGUAUCUUUUUAUUGAAGGAGAUGAAAGAAAUAUACAUAUAUAACUGUGACUAACAUAAAGGAUAUGCAUGUUUCUGUGGCAUAUUCUGGAAGAGUUGUUAAGUGCUGGGAAUAGCAAUUUGAUUAUGAGGUAUAUUGUCAUAUCCAUAUAUAUCAAUGCUAUCAGGUGUUAAAGAGAAAACAGAGAGAUAGUGUCUUUAGCUCAGAAGUAAAUGAUGUUAUAAAAAUAAUGGUUUUAUCAAAUAAAUGAAUUUACAAUGAAAUAAAUUACCCCAUGAAGUUUAUUCAUUCCGUACCUUUAUAAGAAUCUGUCGUGGCAGUAGAAGACGCAGAGAUGUAGUAAUUUAUUCCAUAUUUUUAUAUAAAUUCUAACUGUAAAUAAAGUACUGAGGGCUUCUUAAUGACUUUAAGUUGACAGCAAAAGUUUAGCCUAUAGUUGCAAAUGUUAUAACAAUGAAUUAAUUUUAGAGCAAUUACUAUGGUAAUACAGAUUAUAAUUUAGAUUCAGUCUUAUCUCUUUGGAUAUAUCAAAGCCUAUAUGUUUAAACCAGUUCUAAACUCUAGAAGCUUAUACUAUCAUGUGUUAAUAUUGCCUGGAUGAUUAGCAUAAUUAAACAGUAUUCUGUCAAUGUAUAUCAAGUGAUCAAAAGAGCUUAUGAAAUUAUUUGAUAAAUUAUUCAAAUGGAUUUGCUAUUUUUAAUAUAAAUGAAAUAACAGAACCCAUAUCUCAUACCACAUUGACACUCAGUAUUGAUUAUAUGGCUAAACCAUUUUCAGGGGCUGACUUUACUUAAUCUGAUCUCUUUUUCUGUCUGAGGCAGAUAAAAUAUUAAUACAAGGUAAAUGAGUGCUCACUGAACUUGCCAUAUGGCCCCUGUGGAGGACAGAGGGGCCUGGGCAGCCUAUGGACUUGCCAUAUGGGCCUAGAGGGAAAAGUGAUUGCUCCUGGUUGAAUCUCUAGUCAGGAGCUGAAUGGCAUGUGUAUGGAGACAAGGGAAAGAAGAAAAGGUAAUUAUCACAGUUCUAGAUUUGUAUCUAUAAAGAGGCAGCGUGGUGUGUUGUUACUUUGCUUUUUUCUAUUUAUUUGUUUCUCGUAUUUUUUCUUAUUGAGAAAGCAAGUAGAAAUUCUUCACUUAAAGUCUUGAUGAGUAAAAGGAAGCUUUGAUAAGUAAAACAAAUCUUUAUUUCAAAGAAAACAUCAUCAAGUGCUUAAGUUCCCUCCACCGCAUACCUUGCUGUAUCCUAGAGGGUCUUCUUUCUAAUUUUCUUAGUUUGGUUAAUGUCAGGUACUUUUUCCUGGGUCUCAAUCACACAAACUAAAAUUUUCUCUUUGAUUUCUACCACUUCCUCAUGCCACACUUUAGUUUCUAUGACUUUCUUGCCAGUAUCUCUAGAACUGGAGUGCCCAACAAGCUGAUAAAAAGGCUUUAAAUAGUCGAUUUCUAGAUGGGGCUGCCACCACAAUACUCCCAUUUCUCCCAUACUCAUGCUCUCAUUGCCCACUCACAAUUUUCUAGAAUUCUCAUCGAAGCAAGGAUUAGGACUGGCCAUGGGCCUUUCUCAUUGUUCCGUCAGUAUUAUUCCUACAGAGACUUUAUGGGAUUUGGAACCAGAUAAGUUAAUGCCAUAGGAAAAAACCCUGAAUGAUGAAAUGGCAUAAACAUGAUUUCAAAUUCUGUCCAUGUCCUUGACUAGCUGUGUGACAUUAGGAAAAUCACACAAUCUCUUUAAGAUUCAGUCUUUUUUUGUGUGUGGUGAAAAAGGAUAGUACUAUGCAAGAUUGUUCUGUGAGAAUAACAUAAAAUAAUGCAUUCAGAGUUCUAAUACAUGGAUAAAAUAAGCAUUUUACUGCAACAUUGUUUAUCAUACCAAACAUUUUGGAACCGACUGAACACUGCAAUAGAAGAAUGAAUAAAUAAAAGAUAGCAUAGUUGUAUGAUAUAAUUUAAUACAGCACUUCAAAUGAAUACAAAGAUCUAUGGGAAACAACUUAGGGAAAUCUCAAAAACACAAUAAAAGUUGGAAAAAAGAUAUUAACAGUAUGAUGUUAUUUAUGUAAACUUAACUCAAAGUCAUGGUAAAUAUUUCUCAUGGUUGCACACAAAUAUAGAUACAUUCAGAUCUAUAUUUCUAUGUAUUAUCUGUAGCUAUAUGAACUAGAAUGAAACACUACAAAUUCAUCAUUUUAGUUUACUCUGAGAAGAAUGAAUGGAAUGGAACUGAGAUUAACAAGAUGAUAGGAGUAGCAUCUGUGGAAUUGGGUAAUUAAGUGUUCGUUUUUUGGGCAUAUGAAUUUCAAGAUGCCUCUUAGAGAUCCCGGUGGAGAUGUGAGUCCAGAGAUGAGGGCAGUUCAGGCAAAAGGUCUGAGCUAAAGAUAUAAAUUUUGGAGCCAUCAGCAUAUAGAUGGUAUUUAAAGGCGUGGGUCUGAAUGAGAUCAUGAGGGAAUGCGUACAGCAAAGAGAAAAGGUCAGAAGGUACCCUGUAAUAUUUUGAGCUUGAAAAGAUUAGAUGAAAAAGAAAAGCAAUAAGGAGACUAUGAAGAAGCUGCCAUUGAGGUUUGGGGAGAAGAACAGAGAGGGUGGUGACCUGGAAACCAAGUAAAGAAAGUGUUUCAAGAGUGAAGGAAUAAUCAACACAUCCAGGACUGCUGAUAACUAAGGGGAGGUCUGGGAAUUAACUCUCUGGUUUGGUAACAUUGACGUCACGGUUGAUUUUGAAAAAAAGAAAAGGAGUUUUAUUAGGAAGGGAGGCAUAUAAAACUGACUAGAGUGAGUUCAAGAUUAAGUCAUGGGGAGAAGAUGAAGUUACAGAAUAUACAUAACGCUUGAAAAGGGAUACGAAAACUUGGGACAGUAAUUGAAGGAAAGGAUGAUACCAAGGGAGAUUUUCUUUUGUAGAGGAUGGGAUGUAACACAAAAAUGCUUAUAUGCAUUCAGAAUUAUUCAGUAAAGAGGGGAAGAGUCUAGUAAGAGGACAAAGUUGCAGAAGAGUUCCCAAUUAUUUAGUAAAUGAGACAGAGAAAAGAAUGACUUACUCACGAUCAUUAAUUUUUGAAAAGCUUGAUAUAGAAUCCAGAUUGAAAAGCAUAGAGAAACUAUAAGCCAAUCCUUCCCCUCAGAAUUUGAAACUCCAUGUUUAGGAUACAGAUAAACUCAAAUUACCGUCAAGUAAUCAAAUAACAAUGUAAUGUUUAGUAUAUCCCUCUUUAAGUAUACAUGGCCUGUGUCUGGCCUGCAUCUAAAAUGAUACAAACAAGUACAUGUUAUUCUUUUGUUUUUAUCUUCUAAGAGAAACUUAAAAAAAGAGUAAGCAUCAUGAGAGCUCAAGAUAGAUGAAGCCCAAGAUAGAUGAAGAGAUGGUAAGAAGUCUUGGCUAUUUUAAAUGAAUUCAGGCCAUAUGAAUUAUGUUCUAAGAUAUUUGAAGUAAAUUACAGCUGAGUUUUUUGGCCCAUAGACAAGAGAUAAUGGAUGAGUAAACAAGCCAAUGCAGUUAUGAUUAAAAAAAAAAAAAAAGAAUGUUCACAGAACAAUGUAAGAAGCCCA